AAGUCGUAACAAGGUUUCCGUAGGUGAACCUGCGGAAGGAUCAUUACCACAUCCAAAAUCUUUUAUCAACCCACAAGUGUGAAGUUAUGAUGAGGAACUUUUUCUCUUCAAAAUUUUUAAUUUUUUUUUGAAACCCCUUUUGAACUUUUUUCUUUCUUUCUUUUUUUUAAAAAGAAGAAUUAUAAGCAAGACUACAAAAAAAUGAGAAAAGAGAAAUACAACUUUUAACGGUGGAUCUCUUGGCUCGU
RNAcentral lists this unclassified non-coding RNA (248 nucleotides) under fungal sp. RNAcentral's name for it is "partial internal transcribed spacer region". The stretch from base 1 to 46 matches the Rfam family "Eukaryotic small subunit ribosomal RNA", at positions 1786 to 1831 of the family's 1831-position model. The record is from RNAcentral. Lineage: Eukaryota; Fungi.